AGGUGGCUGACAUCAUGCAAACUGGUUACAGUUACAACUGAAAUUAGAAUACUAAGCUUUCCCAAAUGUUGUAAAUGAGCUUUUCUGGAAGUAGAUGCUGGGACAACACUAGCUGUGCUUGGGGAGUAAGGGCCUGCUCACUUCCUUGGACAGUGAGUUCUCUCUACCACAUCCCCUUCAGGUCAGCUGAGGCUUGGUUAAGUUGUAUCAUGGUCAAAUUCUCUUCUACAAGCCCUGCUUCUUCUUUUCCCAUAAGCAUUGAUUCCCAAUAAACAUCUGUACCCCAGAUUCCUUCUCCUCUGUCUUCUCCACAGCUGAAAGCAAGCUCCCUGUUUCCUGCCACUGCCUUAGUGCCAUCCCUAUACACUAAAUAAAAGCCUAAAGCAGCACUGUCGAAGUCUGGGAUCAGAGGGCAGGGUGAGAGGAAAGGCAGGCCAUCUGCGAGCAGGCACCCUGCGCCGCUCAUGGUCUCUGAACAGAUCAUUUGGCCGAGAGAUCUGCAUCUUCAGGGCUGAAUCAAUCUUGGAGAGGGAGAACUAGAAGAUACAAGUCUAUUGCUGGAGACACCACACACCCUGGCUGCAAAAUAUAGAGAAAACCAGUGGGAACUGAGCAGGAAGUUUCCUUCCUGCUAUCUAGAUCUCAUGGUGCCAGAAGAUGCUAUACAGACUGGCUGCAGGGGAAGGUUUUGGUGAACACUAUUCAAAUCUUUACUUCCUGGAGAUCAGCAUUUUCGCUCCCAAGUUUAAAUGAGAACAGAUAAGUUGCCUGCGGGUGGCCUAGUGCAUGAGUAAAUAAAACUCCUUCAUGGAACCUGGCCCAUCACCACAAACCUAUUUUUGGCUGGCUCUGUGACAGAGAAUGGAGAGG
Molecule: long non-coding RNA, 870 nt
Organism: Nannospalax galili (Upper Galilee mountains blind mole rat)
Lineage: Eukaryota; Metazoa; Chordata; Mammalia; Rodentia; Spalacidae
Exons: 5
Source: RefSeq, a predicted model, not a curated record